AGAGUAACGGAGGCGCCCAAAGGUUCCCUCAGCCUGGUUGGCAAUCAGGUGUUGAGUGUAAGUGCACAAGGGAGCUUGACUGUGAGACCGACGGGUCGAGCAGGGACGAAAGUCGGGACUAGUGAUCCGGCGGUGGCUUGUGGAAGCGCCGUCGCUCAACGGAUAAAAGGUACCCCGGGGAUAACAGGCUGAUCUUCCCCAAGAGUCCAUAUCGACGGGAUGGUUUGGCACCUCGAUGUCGGCUCGUCGCAUCCUGGGGCUGGAGUCGGUCCCAAGGGUUGGGCUGUUCGCCCAUUAAAGCGGUACGCGAGCUGGGUUUAGAACGUCGUGAGACAGUUCGGUCCCUAUCCGCUGUGCGCGUAGGAAUAUUGAGAAGGGCUGUCCCUAGUACGAGAGGACCGGGACGGACGAACCUCUGGUGUGCCAGUUGUCCUGCCAAGGGCAUGGCUGGUUGGCUACGUUCGGGAGGGAUAACCGCUGAAAGCAUCUAAGCGGGAAGCCUGCUUCGAGAUGAGUAUUCCCACCUCCUUGAGAGGGUAAGGCUCCCAGUAGACGACUGGGUUGAUAGGCCAGAUAUGGAAGCCUGGUAACGGGUGGAGUUGACUGGUACUAAUAGGCCGAGGGCUUGUCCUCAGUUG
This 638-nucleotide ribosomal RNA is filed under the name Streptomyces bauhiniae. RNAcentral describes it as "partial 23S ribosomal RNA". It matches the Rfam family "Bacterial large subunit ribosomal RNA", at positions 2294 to 2925 of the family's 2925-position model. The record is from RNAcentral. Lineage: Bacteria; Bacillati; Actinomycetota; Actinomycetes; Kitasatosporales; Streptomycetaceae.